GACGAACGCUGGCGGCGUGCUUAACACAUGCAAGUCGAACGGAAAGGCCCUGCUUUUGUGGGGUGCUCGAGUGGCGAACGGGUGAGUAACACGUGAGUAACCUGCCCUUGACUUUGGGAUAACUUCAGGAAACUGGGGCUAAUACCGGAUAGGAGCUCCUGCUGCAUGGUGGGGGUUGGAAAGUUUCGGCGGUUGGGGAUGGACUCGCGGCUUAUCAGCUUGUUGGUGGGGUAGUGGCUUACCAAGGCUUUGACGGGUAGCCGGCCUGAGAGGGUGACCGGCCACAUUGGGACUGAGAUACGGCCCAGACUCCUACGGGAGGCAGCAGUGAGGAAUAUUGCACAAUGGGCGGAAGCCUGAUGCAGCAACGCCGCGUGCGGGAUGACGGCCUUCGGGUUGUAAACCGCUUUCGCCUGUAACGAAGCGUGAGUGACGGUAAUGGGUAAAGAAGCACCGGCUAACUACGUG
RNAcentral lists this ribosomal RNA (468 nucleotides) under uncultured bacterium. RNAcentral's name for it is "partial 16S ribosomal RNA". It matches the Rfam family "Bacterial small subunit ribosomal RNA", at positions 28 to 507 of the family's 1533-position model. The record is from RNAcentral.